RNAcentral lists this transfer RNA (73 nucleotides) under Liolaemus fuscus. Its description in RNAcentral is "tRNA-Asn". The record is from RNAcentral. Lineage: Eukaryota; Metazoa; Chordata; Lepidosauria; Squamata.
CGGAUAGAAGCCCACUGGUUUGGGUGUUUAGCUGUUAACUAAAGUUUUGUAGGAUCGAGGCCUGCCUAUCUAG